GGGUGGGAACUCCAGGGAGACUGCCGGUGAUAAACCGGAGGAAGGUGGGGACGACGUCAAGUCAUCAUGGCCCUUACGAGUAGGGCUACACACGUGCUACAAUGGCGCAUACAGAGGGCAGCCAACUGGCGAGAGGGAGCGAAUCCCAAAA
RNAcentral lists this ribosomal RNA (151 nucleotides) under uncultured bacterium. RNAcentral describes it as "partial 16S ribosomal RNA". It matches the Rfam family "Bacterial small subunit ribosomal RNA", at positions 1129 to 1279 of the family's 1533-position model. The record is from RNAcentral.